Molecule: ribosomal RNA, 287 nt
Filed under: uncultured Nocardioides sp.
Lineage: Bacteria; Bacillati; Actinomycetota; Actinomycetes; Propionibacteriales; Nocardioidaceae
Description: partial 16S ribosomal RNA
Rfam family: Bacterial small subunit ribosomal RNA
Source: RNAcentral
GGAUGAGCCCGCGGCCUAUCAGCUUGUUGGUGAGGUAAUGGCUCACCAAGGCUUCGACGGGUAGCCGGCCUGAGAGGGUGACCGGCCACACUGGGACUGAGACACGGCCCAGACUCCUACGGGAGGCAGCAGUGGGGAAUAUUGGACAAUGGGCGGAAGCCUGAUCCAGCAACGCCGCGUGAGGGAUGACGGCCUUCGGGUUGUAAACCUCUUUCAGCACAGACGAAGCGCAAGUGACGGUAUGUGCAGAAGAAGGACCGGCCAACUACGUGCCACAGCCGCGGCCG